GCCAAAAAUAAUCAUUUCCGUAUCUGAAGUGAAUUGUUCCGCAUCUGAUACUGUUAUGUAGUCGGUUUUGUAUCUGAACUGUAUGCAUGCGGAUCAGUAACUAUUCUGUAUUUUCAAAUUGUAUCUGAAGCAGAUUUCAGCCAAUUACUGUACUGUUAGUUUUUUAUUGAUACACAAGUGUACAACGGAGAACAGUAUCUGAUGUGUUAAGAGAUUAUGUAUCAGACCAGAAGCUUAAAAUAGAGCACAUGAGAGAGCACAUGUAGUAUAAUAAAACAAAGCAAAAUGUCUUCCCCAGAUAGCCAGCUCCUACAGUCGAUAUUAGAUGAGUUAAAAAGUGAGUGUAUAAGUUACAGCAUGAUUAUACAUAAUUAUAUAGACUUUUUUUAUAGACUUUUUCCUCAUUGACAUGACUUGUAUAAUAAUAUAGCUGUUCAGUACCUUAUAGAUCUACUUUAUACAAUGCACCAUUGUCCAGCAAUCAUAUAUCAAUAUCUGAAGGAGAGAGAAAAGUUUGGCUUGCUCUUUCAAAGGUAUUCAGAAUUGCCUACUGUGUACCAUUCACCGAGGAUAAAGUACACGACUAUGACCAGAUAUGUCAGCACUUUGUGGCCACCGUAAAAGAAAACAUGCCUGAAAUGCUGAAAAAACAAUAAGUUCACCUGCUACUCCAUCUUCCGGAAAGUAUGAAAGAGUUUGGUCCCCCAUCAUCUUUUAACACAGAAAGGUGUGAGGCUUUCAACUCAAAGAUGAGAAACUACAAUGUAUACUCUAAUAAAGCUGCGUCAAGUAGAGACAUUGCUCUCAGCUUUGCCGUGUUGGAAGACAUCAGGCUUGUGUGUGACGGGGAACGACACUCAGUUUUGGCAGGAGCGUUGGGUUAGGACUGGUACACAUGUACCAUUCAAAUGCGGUCCAAAAGUUUCUGAAUGGAGCAACACCACCCAAACACAAGGCGAUAUACCAGCCAGGAGCACUCAGAAUGAAACAAGUACAGCCUGCAUCUCUCUCGAGUGUUGAGCUUAAGGUGGGUGGAGAGGUGAUGACCCUGGGAAGCCUUCCCACUGACCUGUCUGUGGAUCUUCUUGAGACCUUCAACCUGCGGGAUGAUGUCCAAAGAUAUGGAGGUGUUGUGUCACAAGCUGGCCAACUUGUUCACUGUGGGCAAUCUGUUAAAUUGGCCACCACAGACAACAUGUCACAGUAUGGUAUACUGGUGGCAAAUGUACUCAGACUAGCAUCCCAUUCAUCUAUGUGCCUGGUCCAGAAAUUUGAGGGCAUCGUCUUGAAUGGACAACCAAUUGUCAACGAGUAUGACUGCCCACUGUUGACCCUAACGGAUACGAUUACUGGAGUCUACCCUGUUGACAUUUUACUUGAAACGUCAAUAGUACAUGAAUGUACAGACACUUGUGAAUUUGUCAGUAACGGACCGCUCAAUGUCCUACAAGUCGAACGAGAGACAAUUCCAACAAACAGAUUUGUAUACAUGCACGACUGGACGAAUAAAUUGUAUUGUUUCAAUGUAUACUGCAUGACGCAGUAGCUUUCAUGUUGUUACUAUCACUUUUGUGCUUUCAAUUCUAUUGCUAAUUUGUUGUCUGUACUAUCACUUUGCCUUUAAAAUAAUGACAA
Long non-coding RNA from Halichondria panicea, 1635 nucleotides. RefSeq lists it as uncharacterized. The transcript has 6 exons. The record is from RefSeq and is a predicted model, not a curated record. NCBI's taxonomy places the organism in Eukaryota, Metazoa, Porifera, Demospongiae, Suberitida, Halichondriidae.